This 160-nucleotide ribosomal RNA is filed under the name Chaetanthera limbata. RNAcentral's name for it is "5.8S ribosomal RNA". It matches the Rfam family "5.8S ribosomal RNA". Rfam says of the family: 5.8S ribosomal RNA (5.8S rRNA) is a component of the large subunit of the eukaryotic ribosome. It is transcribed by RNA polymerase I as part of the 45S precursor that also contains 18S and 28S rRNA. Functionally, it is thought that 5.8S rRNA may be involved in ribosome translocation. The record is from RNAcentral. Lineage: Eukaryota; Viridiplantae; Streptophyta; Magnoliopsida; Asterales; Asteraceae.
AACGACUCUCGGCAACGGAUAUCUCGGCUCACGCAUCGAUGAAGAACGUAGCAAAAUGCGAUACUUGGUGUGAAUUGCAGAAUCCCGUGAACCAUCGAGUUUUUGAACGCAAGUUGCGCCCGAAGCCAUUGGCGAGGGCACGUCUGCCUGGGCGUCACGC